UGAGGAAUAUUGGGCAAUGCCCGCAAGGGUGACCCAGCAACGCCGCGUGGAGGAUGAAUGUCGUAAGAUUGUAAACUCCUGUUAGAGGGGAAGAAUAGUACCGGUUGGACCGGUAUAUGACUGUACCCUCAGAGAAAGCCCCGGCUAACUACGUGCCAGCAGCCGCGGUAAUACGUAGGGGGCAAGCGUUGUCCGGAUUUACUGGGUGUAAAGGGCGCGCAGGCGGGAUAAAAAGUCAGUGGUGAAAUCCUACAGCUUAACUGUAGAACUGCCUUUGAUACUUUUAUUCUUGAGUUCGGGAGAGAGAGACGGAAUUCCUGGUGUAGUGGUGAAAUACGUAGAUAUCUGGAAGAACACCAGUUGCGAAGGCGGUCUCUUGGUCCGACACUGACGCUGAGGCGCGAAAGCGUGGGGAGCAAGCA
RNAcentral lists this ribosomal RNA (422 nucleotides) under uncultured bacterium. Its description in RNAcentral is "bacterial SSU rRNA". It matches the Rfam family "Bacterial small subunit ribosomal RNA", at positions 355 to 774 of the family's 1533-position model. The record is from RNAcentral.